This 405-nucleotide long non-coding RNA is filed under the name Homo sapiens (human). RNAcentral's name for it is "HSALNT0405062". The record is from RNAcentral. Lineage: Eukaryota; Metazoa; Chordata; Mammalia; Primates; Hominidae.
CUUGAACCCGGGAGGCGGAGGUUGAAGUGAGCCGAGAUCACACCACGGUACUCCAGCCUGGCCUGGUGACAGAGCAAGACUCCAUCUCAAAAAAGAAAACAAAAUUAAGCUGCAAGGAAGAUUAAUAGGAAAAUGCCUAUGUUGUGUCAAGAGAAUGAAAACUAUUUUAUUUUUAAAAUUUAGAUACAGAAAUACAAGACUGAGAAGGAAAUACUCCAAAAUGUUAGUAACUGUAACAAGAUUAUAAAGCUACAUAUUUGUAGUAUGAAAAAAAUCUCUCCUGUAUUUUCUUACAAGUUUGCUUUUCUCUUUUUUUUUCUAUACAAAACCUCGCUUUGUUGCCCAGGCUGGAGUGCAGUGGUACGAUCCCGGCUUACUGCAACCUCUGCCUCCUGGGUUCAAGCG